This is a non-coding RNA of Pelobates cultripes (western spadefoot toad), 210 nucleotides long. Lineage: Eukaryota; Metazoa; Chordata; Amphibia; Anura; Pelobatidae. The record is from the annotation of a GenBank genome assembly.
CCGGCACUGGAUUUAAGUAGCUGAAGGGGGGCCCUGAGGGUGGGGGACCUAAGGGUUCUAUAGUGUCAGGAAAACCAGUCUGUUUUCCUGACACUAUAUAGUGAUCCUUUAACUGUGUUGCUAUAUUGACCACACAUAGGCACAGCAUUGAAAAUGGAACUGACUGUUACACCUAAUUGCGCUGGGAGAGAGAACGUAAGGUUAGCAAAG